AAAUUUAACAACCUUUACAAAAACGAUAAACAAUACUGAAUAACAUAAGAAAAUGAAUAGGUGUCGCCUGGCACAUACACUUCAACUCAAAACAAUAUAACAACCUCCAAGACCCGGAAACCCACGGGCAACACAGGCUAAGGUAAAAACAUAACAUACGUCUCUAUAUCCAGAAGUGUCUACAAACACUGAGUACAUGAAUGAAACUGCUAACUAAAAGGUAGAAUAGAAGGAGACUCUUCGGAUCUGCGGACGUGGCAGAUGCAUACCUCAAGUCUCCAAGUGAAGCUACGAACUCACUGAUAGCGCUUGAUCAGAAGUACCUGGAUCCGCACAACAAAAUUAUGCAGAAGAGUAGCAUGAGUACACCACAGCGGUAUUCAUUAAGUGCCAAGCCUAACCUCGGUGGAGUAGUGACGAGGAAGGUCGAGGCCCUAAUGAGAUGAACAUAAGAAUAAAUAUAAGAUAAAAUGACAGUAGGAAAUGCGGUAAAUCUCUAGUAUCUAGCAAGACAAUAAAUAAAACAGAAUAGGCUACAAAUGCAAUAUACGAAUAUAAGAACAAUCACUCAAAAAUCAUGAUACCGCAUGGAGCUCCAGGAAUUUAACCAACAGUCCAUUCUCACCAAUAUCUGAGGAUCUUCCGGGAAUCGAAUCUGUAGUCCAUCAUACCAACAUCAGAGAAUCUCCCGGGAAUUGAACCCGUAGUCAGUCUCAUCAAUAACAGAGGAUCGACCGGGAAUUGAACUCGUAGUCCAUCAUAUCAAUAAUAGAGGAUCUACUGGAAAUUGAACCCAUAGUCCACCAUAUCAAUAACAUGGGAUCUACCAGGGAUCGAACCCGUAGUCCGUCACAUCAAUAACAGGGGAUCUACUGGGAAUCAAACCCGUAGUACAUCAUAUCAAUAACAGGGGGAUCUUCCAGGAAUUAAACACGUAGUCUCAAUUGUAAACACUUCACAACAAUUCAAUAUUUAACAUAAAGAAGCCAAAUAUAGCAACAGGUAAGGAUCUAGAGCCUAGCAUGCUCACAAAGAGGACAGAUAUUGCAAUUCAGUCAAUUAGAGCAAAUAAAUUACAAACAUGCUUUUCCUAGGCUAAAACAAGUGAAGUUGCAUUUUUACAUGUUAAAUAUAUGAAGAAACACAGUCUAAAUAAACCAAGUAAGGUGAAUUUCCAACAAACAGCACAAGUAUGCGCCCGUCACCUCGCGCACUAGGCAUUUUAAACAACAGCAAAGAUAUCCUAAGGAGAGAGGUCCCCCACACAAACUUACACAAGCCACUUACCUCGAACCGGUACAAAACAGCUAAAAAACAAUGCCCCUGCCACGAGUAUCCGACUCCGAGUGGCCCAAAUAUAUUCAAACCAAUUGCAUAUGAUAAAUAACAUCGCAAGUAACUAAUUAUAUUGUUAAAAUUCAGCUAAGGCGCGAAAAUAGGUGAAAUGACCAAAAUGCCCUUCAGGUCAACGUCUCGGAAUCGAAUAAUUUUCACAUUUUUAGAUACCUCGUACUCUCACGAGUUUAACCAUAUAGAAAUAUCCCAAAUCAGAGGUCAAAUGCCCCUUCAAAUCAUCAAAGUUAGGUCUAAGAACUUUACUCCAAUUUUCAUUCAAAAUCAGAAAUUAAAGCAUGAAUUUGAGUAGAUUAGUGGGUAAGAAUCAUAAGGGAGUAAGGAAUCAUAAGGUAUAGGUAUGGUGACGAUUACCUAUACGCCCGAGUCUAUCAUGACCGUGAGUCCUAGUUGCUUUUAAAUUCGAAAGAUGUGAAACAAUUGAGUUAAUUACUUGCUAAAUAAAUUAUGAAGUGAUAGUUGAGGAGCAAAUGAGUUAAAGAAAGAAGUGUGGUAUUUUUCCCUUGCCGGGACUUGUUGAUGAUCCGUUUUCCCUUGUUGGGACUUAUUGUUGAUUAUUCUCCCUUACCGGGAUGUUUAAUCUUGUUGAAUAUUCCAUUCCCCGAUUGGUUGUUACCUUUGAUUGGGUGAGGAAGAGAGAUUAUGCACGAAGGGUCUUUUCAUGCCCGGUUUUGAUGAUUAAGCACGUAGGGUCUUACCGUGCCAUAUUUUGAUUAUUGGAGCAUGAAGGGUCUUUUUGUGCCUUGAUGUGAGAGUUAUGUGAGGAAAAUCACGAAGGGUGAUGUCGUGCAUUUAUAUUUGACAAUUUGGUGAGGAAAAGCGCGAAGGGUGAUGCCAUGCAUUUAUAUUUAACAGUUUGGUGAGGAUUGAGAGUAAAAGCACAAAGGUUGAUGCCGUUCAGUUGUUGAUUUGCUUGGUCUCUUUCAUUGAUGUUAACUAUUUGAUUUCCAUCUCUCUGUCAGUGGUUUCAUAUCAAAAUUGUUACACCCCACAUCUUGCCCCCUCCCUAUUACCUGUUUAAAUAUUUGGUAUAGUUUUUCGUUGUUGCACAUACAUCGGAACAGGUUAAUUGUGGUGGGACCGAUCUAGCCUCGUCACUGCCUCGCUGGGGUUAGGCCAGACACUUAUCAGCACAUGGGAUCGAUUGUGCUGAUACUACACUUCUGUGCCUUUUGUGCACAGGUCAGGAGACAGCUUACGGACCGUAACAGUAGCUUGGGAGUGUGCCUUCAGUCCAGAAACUCCUAGGUAGUUCGCUGGCGUUCGCGGGCCCUGAGUCUCUUCUAUUUCAUUUCUGUUUGUUUUCAUUGUAUCAAAACAGACUCCUUAUGUAUUUUCUUUCAAACUUUUUUUUGUAGUAUUUUAUAGCAGUCCGUGAGUACUGUGACACUAGACUGCCCCAUAUUGGUUAAGCAAUGAGUUGUUAUCUCCUCAUAUGCUUUUGGCCUUUUGGGCAAUCUUUAUCCCCUGAGCUAGCUCAAGGUUUGUUAUUUUCAUGUUAAAAAUAGGAAAAAUAUUCUAGGCACCGGCCAACAUGUGCUGCCCGUCUGACUAUGUUUUCAUCUUCUCUUUUCCUGUCGGUGUCCACUGUCUCUCCUCUCUCAGAAAACUGGUGCCUCUACUCUCCAAAAGAUUGUGUAGGCAUCGCUUCUCUCACCAAUGACCAUUCAUCCAUCGCUCCUCUUUGACAUGUUCCGCCGUUCCCCUCUCUAAGUUCGUUCAAGCACCGUUUAUCUCUCGGACAAACAUUCUGGAGACUUUAUUCUAUUCCACAACUAUCGGUGCUUCUUUCUAUGCAACCAUUGCGCUCCUCAAGAUCUUAUGUUUCUUGUCAUUGUUAUACCAACUCAUGGUAUACUGAUAAUGUACCGGAGAUUGGUAACACCAUAUAUCUUUUUGAUGAUUGAGAAUAGACUCAUUUUCGUGUAUAGUGUAAAAAUCACUUUCGUUCGUUGUGUUAUUACCAAUUGACUUCUCGGAGGAAAGAAUUCAAACAUCGAUCUUCUUUCUGGUGGUUAUGUGCUAUUAUGGCAAGAUUUCAACUUCAAUUUUCUGUGUCCGCAAUAUGCAACUCAAAUUGGGUUCUCCACUUUGAGUUUGAGGGGGCUAGUUAGAAGAUCAAAAGUUUGUGUGUAGAUUCAUACGCAUCUAAGAUUAAUUAUUCUUGAACAAGGAAAAUCUUAUAAAAUGCUACAUGAUGCCGUAAGAUAUUAUGUAUUUCAUUAUAUAGUAUUGAUUUACCUUUCUAGUGCAGAGAUCGAAUAGCUACCGCCUAAGAUUCCUAUAUGAGGAGCACUUGUUGUACAUCGUUAGUAAAUUAAAUCAAUGACAAGUUUUUUCUAUUUUCACAAGGAAAAUCAAUCGACCAUCUUUCAUUUUGGUCGAUAAGAUGGUUUUUUCUUUGUUGUAAUUUCCAUUUCCUUUCUAUUUAAAUAUAGAAAAGUGAAUAUGUCUCACACAGUCUGUCUGGCUUGUCUCAGUACUGAACUUUUAAAUGCUAAAGACAUGUAUUUUGACCCCCUACUCAUCUCGGAUUCCAACUUAAUUUUUUUAAUUGUACCUCCGUUGUUCCAUCUCUAAGAAAGGUAGAGCUCCUCAACCUCUUUUUUCUGACUGAAGGUUUCACUUAAUGUAGUAUUUGGUGGAUGUCAAUCACUUGUUGUGCUUGAGAGCCACGAUAGUCCUUAAAAUCCUAAUUGAUGCAUUAUGUGCAGGAAGAGUUUACGAGAUUCAUUUUCUAAUGAUAAAAGAAAUUGUUCAUGGUUGGCCAAUGAUCGGUAGCUUUUGCCCAAAUGUUCAUACAUAUUCACUCCUCACUUGAAUCUAGGUUUUUCAAAUGUUUCCUGAGAGGGCCUUAGUGUAAAACAGUCACAUUUUAGAUCAUAUGGGACGAGGAGGGAUAAAUCUUGGUGUUAGUUUUAUUGUAUACAUAGGAGUAAAUAAUUCUAAUAAUCCUAAUCCCGUAUGUUUUAGGAGUAAGACAUAUAUUGUAUAUACAGGGCUCAUUGUAUCAUUGUUUAAUUAAUAAAUCAAUAAUGUAUUUUUUCCCGUGCUUUCUCACAUGGUAUCAGAGCUUUGGUGAAAUAAUUAUCGUUUUGCGUCAUUCCAACGACAUCCGGGAAGAAAUAACUCAGUCACCGUGCAAUUUUUCGGUGACCUAAGUGACUAAUUGCGUCAAAGUCACUAAUUAUCAGUGUUGUGCAAAAACCAACACCACCACAAGGUUUCCAAAAGAUAUCCGACCAAACCCCAGCAAACCCUACCGGAAAACUGCCCUUCACGCGCCCUCACGCGCCAGAAUUAUCAAGGCAUAUCCGACUCACGCGCGCCCACGCGCCGGUGCGUGAGCAAUGUUCCGGUGAGAUUUUGACGAAGGUCCUUCAGGGCAGUUGGAUCGCCCUCAAAUUCUUAGCCUACCCAUAAUUUUACUUUUCAAUUCCGACCACUUUGAAUUUUUUCCGGUAGCUAUAGUAAUUUUCCGGCUGCUACAGUGAUCCCCAGAAAAUUUCUAUUUUUUCCGGCACGAUAUUAUAAUGGAAUUCGUAUCGGAAGUUUUUAACUCACAAUCUGUUGGAUCUAAUGCAUUGAAUCCCAUCCAAAUGGUUUCUUUACCGGAUUAUAUCGAGUUCCUUCAGUACAAAGCAUAUACACAGACAUCAUCAGGAUUAGCCUCCGUUGUUCCAACAAAUAAUAGCAUGGCUGGUGUAUCCCAAUCUUCACCUUUUGAAUCUUGGGUCAUUGAUUUAGGUGCAUCUGAUCAUAUUUCUUGUAACAAAUCUCUUUUCACUAGUAUCUCAUAUUCUCAAUCUCUUCCAACACUCACAAUGGCCAAUAGGUCUCAAGCCAUGGCAACUGCAAUAGGUCAAACAAGUUCACUUCCUUCCUUACCUUUAGACUCAGUUCUUUAUGUUCCUGGUAGACCUUUUAAUCUCAUAGUCGUUAGUCGCUUAGCCAAAUCAUUGCAAGUCCACUUCAUUUCUUAUCUUUAGACUUAGCUCUUUAUGUUCCUGGUAGUCUUUUUAAUCUCAUAGUUGUUAUUCGCUUAGCCAAAUCACUUAAAUCUGCUAUUUUAUUUCUUGAUGACAUUGUUUUUAUACAAGAACGCAGUACUGGCCGGAUCAUUGGUACCGGACGUGAAUCAGAUGGACUUUAUUACCUUAUCCUUGCAAAAUCACAUGGACUCGCAUCUUGUAUUUCUCUAAUAACUUCUCCCGUUACUGAUUCACCAGAUUUAUUACAUAAACGGUUAGGAUAUCCCAAUUUGUCAAAACUUCAGGAAAUGGUAAGCAUACCCGCUCCAAUUUUCCGCGGCGUCUUGACAAUCGAGCAGAGUCACCUUUUACUUUAGUCCAUUCAGAUGUUUGGGGUCCUAGUCGGGUUAGUUCUACCUUGGGAUUACACUACUUUGUCAGUUUCAUUGAUGAUUAUUCAAGGUGCACUUGGAUACUUUUGAUGAAAAAUCGAUAUGAGUUGUUUUCUAUUUUCCAGACCUUCCAUGCUGAAAUUCAAAAUAAAUUUGGGGUUUCUAUUUGCACAUUUCGUAGUGAUAAUGCCCUAGAGUAUUUGUCUUCCCCAUUUCAGCAGUUUAUGACCUCCCAUGGAAUUAUUCAUCAAACAUCUUGUCCGUACACAUCCCAACAAAAUGGGGUAGUUGAAAGAGAGAAUAGAAACCUUAUUGAAACUGCUCGUACUCUACUCAUACAAUCUCAUAUUCUGCUGCGCUUUUUUGGGGAUGCAGUUCUUAUAUCUUGUUAUCUUAUUAAUCGUAUGCCAUCUUCAGCUAUCCAAAAUCAAGUUCCAUUUUGUGUCCUAUUUCCCCACUUACCUUUGUUCUCUCUUCCACCCUGUGUCUUUAGGAGUACAUCCUUUGUUCAUGACCUUACUCCAGGAAAAGAUAAGUUAGCUCCCUGUGCUCUUAAGUGCUUUUUCUGGGUUACUCGAGAAGGCAAAAGGGAUAUCGAUGUUAUUCUCCUGACCUUCAGCGAUUUCUUAUGCUUGCUGAUGUUACCUUCUUUGAAACCUAAUCAUACUUCACAGGUCGAGUUAAUAACUUAGAUAUUUCUGAGGUGCUACCAAUUCCUUCUUUUGAAGAUUCAGUCCCUAUCUCUCAUUCAUCUUCCUACAUAGCUCCACCGCCUACGGUUCCAGUUACAACUCCACCAUCUAUAGCUCUAGUGUCACCUCCGAGUCUAAUGCAACCACCUAGUCCAGUUCCACAAUUAUAGCUCCAGUGCCUCCACCUAGUCCAGUUCAACCUUCUACGGCUCCACCACUCCUGACUUAUUAUCGUCGUCUGCCCCUAGCAUCAUGCCCAGCUGAUUCACGUCCUGCACCUGACCCUGCUAAUGCACGGUGACUUUCCAACUCAGCGAAUGCUUUCUGUAGUUGUUGUAUCUUGGAUGUUGUAGAGUCCACCAAUGUUGCAACUGACUCUGUAUCUUCCAUGGCGAAACUCCCUGAUAAUCUAUUUGAAUUUUCAGAAAAUCUCUUUAGAUAACUGAUAAAACAACAAAGGCACCUACAUUUGUCAACUGAAACUGCUAUACAAGUUUUUAUUUUGUAAAUUUUUAGUGUUGCAUACUAAUUUGCAGAGAUAUUCACCACCAACAACAAGCCCAGAGUAAUCCCUAUAGUAGUUUCAGUUGACAAAUGUAGGCGCAUUUGUUGCAUAAUAAUUUGUACACAGAUAACAGAUUAUUGAAAGAUAUCAGACAUAUUACACAGCUGCUAGUACGAUGACAACCUAAUUAAGGAAAGAAUCUCAAUACCCAACUCUUCUUCUAAUAAGCCAGAUGAGUCAUUAAUCCUUUCUUUUAUUUAAUAUGUCAAAGCUAGUCAUAGAUGCACCUAAACUAAACCCCAUGUUAUCAAGGCUACUAGAGACUUUUCCAGUAUAAGUACCUACUACUCUUUCUUAAAAGCAUCGCUGAGUGUUAUCAAGGCUACCAAAGACUUUUCCAGUAUAAAUACCUACUACUCUUUCUUUAAAGCAUAGCUGAGAACCCAAAUUUUGAUCAUAGUUUCAGGUUCUUAACCCAUAGCAGAAGAGAGAGAGAGCAAGCGCGAGAACAAAGAAUUGUUCUUUUUGAAAUAGAAGUCAGUUUAGGCACCAAAGGGUUUGGCCUAAUGGUCAAUGAAGUGGGUGAGAACCAUGCGGUAUCAGGUUUAAAUCCCAGUGGAAGCAAAAAACAUUAGGUGAUUUCUUCGAGAUCGAUCGAUCGAGAGGGGAGGGGGGGACUGGGAACAAGUAACUUUUCUUUUUGAAAUAGAAGGCAGUUUAGGCACCCGAGGGUGUGGCCUAAUGGUCAAUGAAGUGAGUGAGAACCAUGAGGUCUCAAGUUUAGCAAAAACUAGGUGACUUCUUCCCACUAUCCAAGCCUUGAUAGAUAGAGAUACCCGGUACCUAUAGCUCGUAGAAGGUGGCAUGUAUCCCAGAAAAUUAGUUAAGAUGCACGCAAGCUUGGCUCGAACACCAUGGUUAUCCAAAAAAAAAAAUGAAGGCGGUUUAGUGUCAAGACUAUGUAACCCAGGGCCUAGUCAUCUUUAGUUUGUUUAUCAUGAUGCAUAACAUCCCUGUGUUAAGGUCAAAACCAGGUCUAGCCCAUAGCUGCCUUGUUGAUAUUAGCGAGCUGCACAGACUUUUGUAUCUUAUAUGAUCACGUCAAAGUUAUGAUAAAAUACUAAUUUUACUUAGCUCACUGUAAUUGAUUUUGAAAAGUGGCUAGAUUACUGAAAGGCAUGUAUGCACUGGAAAAAGCAAAAACUUUGUAAAAUCCUUGCAAAUCUUUCCAUCUUUUCCCUAUCCAUUUUGGAAUGACAAACAUCAUAAAGAUCAUUUCAGUGUUCUUAUUCCUUUUUUCUUGCACUAUAUUCCCCUAAACAAAAUUACAAAAAUUAAGCAAAACUUCUUCUGAGUACAAGGUAAAUGUACCACAACAGGUUACACGUGGAAACAACAAGUAUCUCCAAAUUCACGCUCAACAGAUUAUAGUAAAAGAAUAGAAGGUAUUGCAAAACUAUCAAGUUACUAGAAGAGCUAAAAAGAAAGACACAAAUCAAAACUAACACCAAUCGUCAAAUAAAGAAAUUUCCGUAUACUCAAUUAAUCACGAAGUAUAAUUACACCUGGACUUAAGUAAAAGCCAAUACUGAUAGUCGCGAUCAACAAAUAUACUGACAAAAAUAAAUGAUAAAAAGAAAACAAUCUAAAAAGGCUCAUUUCAACAACAAACGAAGCUAUAACGAGCAUUCAAGAUUAAAACUACAUCACUCUACUCGCUAAUUUUUGACGAUUAAGACGAUCUGAAGGUACUGAAUGAUAGUGAUGAAGCAAUAAGGCAAAUGAAAAGAGAAUAUGGGAGUUGUACUUACACGAUCGACAGCGAAAGUUGACAGAGAAGAAGAUAUGUCGGCGGUAAAGUUCGCCGGAGAAUUCAAACCAUUUAAGUUUGAAUUCCUAUUGACAGAGAAAGAGGAAAGUGAAAAGUGGAAGGAAGAGUAGUAUUUAUUAGAGCUACUGUUACCCGACAGAGACCACUCACUCACGCAGAC
This 8904-nucleotide long non-coding RNA is filed under the name Nicotiana benthamiana. RNAcentral describes it as "long non-coding RNA (NBEN_LNC011573)". The record is from RNAcentral. Lineage: Eukaryota; Viridiplantae; Streptophyta; Magnoliopsida; Solanales; Solanaceae.